GAUGAAGAACGCAGCGAAAUGCGAUAAGUAAUGCGAAUUGCAGAAUCCGUGAGUCAUCGAAUCUUUGAACGCACAUUGCGCCCACUGGUAUUCCGGUGGGCAUGCCUGUUCGAGCGUCAUUAUCCUCCCUCAAACCCCGGGUUUGGUGUUGGACCCAAGUUGUGUGAACAACUGGUCUCAAAGACAAUGACGGCGUCCGUGGGACCCUCGGUGCAACGAGCUUUUAGGAGCACGCAUCGAGUUGCAAGGACCUUCCGGGCCGGUCUCCUUUACCAUUUUACAAGGUUGACCUCGGAUCAGGUAGGAAUACCCGCUGAACUUAAGCAUAUCAAUAAGCGGAGGA
Molecule: unclassified non-coding RNA, 343 nt
Filed under: soil metagenome
Description: partial contains 5.8S ribosomal RNA, internal transcribed spacer 2, and large subunit ribosomal RNA
Rfam family: 5.8S ribosomal RNA (bases 1-119)
Source: RNAcentral